Molecule: ribosomal RNA, 465 nt
Filed under: Vreelandella stevensii
Lineage: Bacteria; Pseudomonadati; Pseudomonadota; Gammaproteobacteria; Oceanospirillales; Halomonadaceae
Description: partial 16S ribosomal RNA
Rfam family: Bacterial small subunit ribosomal RNA
Source: RNAcentral
CCUACGGGUGGCUGCAGUGGGGAAUAUUGGACAAUGGGGGCAACCCUGAUCCAGCCAUGCCGCGUGUGUGAAGAAGGCCCUCGGGUUGUAAAGCACUUUCAGUGAGGAAGAACGCCUGGUGGUUAAUACCCAUCAGGAAAGACAUCACUCACAGAAGAAGCACCGGCUAACUCCGUGCCAGCAGCCGCGGUAAUACGGAGGGUGCGAGCGUUAAUCGGAAUUACUGGGCGUAAAGCGCGCGUAGGUGGCUUGAUAAGCCGGUUGUGAAAGCCCCGGACUCAACCUGGGAACGGCAUCCGGAACUGUCAAGCUAGAGUGCAGGAGAGGAAGGUAGAAUUCCCGGUGUAGCGGUGAAAUGCGUAGAGAUCGGGAGGAAUACCAGUGGCGAAGGCGGCCUUCUGGACUGACACUGACACUGAGGUGCGAAAGCGUGGGUAGCAAACAGGAUUAGAUACCCUAGUAGUC